Molecule: long non-coding RNA, 1310 nt
Filed under: Physcomitrium patens
Lineage: Eukaryota; Viridiplantae; Streptophyta; Bryopsida; Funariales; Funariaceae
Description: long non-coding RNA (PPAT_LNC006090)
Source: RNAcentral
UUAUCACACUUCAUAGCAAAGUCAAUUGCUUGACUCAAUGUUUGAGGAUAAGAUAAGUUGAGCAUCAAUUUCUUUACUUCAUACUAUAAUCUAUAGAGAAAUUGGCUAAUAAAUGCAGCAUUACUCUACUUGAUAUCAAUUACAAGUUAUCAAAAUUGUGAAGCAUAUAAUGUUACAAAUUGAUUGCUUUGUCAUAAAAUACAAAUCAUAUUGCAAUACAAGUUGUAUCAUGUUUUCCAUACAUGGAUCAAAAUUCUUCUAAAAAAGCCUCAAAAUUAAAUAGUAUUGGAUCUCGUUGUUCAAGAAAAGAUGAAAACCUUAAUAACAAUAAAUCUAAAAGAAGUCUAUUAAUAAAUCUAACUUGUGAUCCUAGAGUUGCAUAGCUUUGAGAUUGAAGUUUAAUCACAAGUUAUACUUGAUUAAUAAAUCCUCAAAAAUUGGAUCUUGUGCCAUCAAACUUCUCAGGUAGGAUAAUUCUUGGUUUUCUAGUACUGGUGUUGUAUUACAUGGCGUUUGGUUUAAGAAUGCACCGAGAACUUGGUUGUAGAGGAUAAAAAGAAAAAUUAUAACAAAAAGCCCUAACAAUCCUAACCAAAUCCUAGAUAAAUCUUAACCAAAUCCUAAUCAAAACCUAAUCAAACCCUAAACAAUCCUAAAUAAAUCCUAACCAAAUCUUAACCAAAUCCUAAACAAUCAUAAAUAAAUUCUAAUCAAAUUCUAAACAAACUCUAAAAAAAUCCUAUCGAAAUCCUAGGCAAAUUCUAACCAAACCAUAAACAAAUUCUAACCAAAUUCUAAUCCUAAAUCAAAUCCUAACUAAAUCUUAAUCCUAAUCAAAUCCUAAAUCCUAAACCAAAUCUUAACUAAAUCUUAAAAAAAUCCUAAAUAAUUCUAAAAAAGCCUAAUCAAGCCCUAAUCAAAACCUAAAUAAUCUUAAAUAAAUCCUAAUCUUAAAUCAAAUCCUAAUCAAAUCCUAAACAUUAAAUCAAAUCUUAAUUCAAUCCUAAUCUUAAAUCAAACCUUAACUAAAUUCUUAAUCCUAAAUCAAAUUAUAACCAAAUCCUAUUCAAAACCUAAAUAACCUUAAAUAAAUCCUAAUCCUAAAUCAAACCCUAACCAAAUCCUAAAUCCAAAUCCUAAACAAAUCCUAACCAAAUCCUAAACAAAUCCUAAUAAUUCUUAUAGCAGAUUCAAACCUAAAUAAUUAAUGAAUGAACUAUUGAAUUUCACUCAAAAUUUGUAUUUUUCUUAACAAUAAAGUUGAAAACAAUUACAAAAAAUUUGAAAAGAAUCAAAAUUACUAAAUAGAC